UGAGGAAUAUUGGUCAAUGGACGAGAGUCUGAACCAGCCAAGUAGCGUGAAGGAUGAAGGUUCUAUGGAUUGUAAACUUCUUUUAUACGGGAAUAAACGAAUCCACGCGUGGAUUUUUGCAUGUACCGUAUGAAUAAGGAUCGGCUAACUCCGUGCCAGCAGCCGCGGUAAUACGGAGGAUCCGAGCGUUAUCCGGAUUUAUUGGGUUUAAAGGGAGCGUAGAUGGGUUGUUAAGUCAGUUGUGAAAGUUUGCGGCUCAACCGUAAAAUUGCAAUUGAUACUGGCAGUCUUGAGUACAGUUGAGGUAGGCGGAAUUCGUGGUGUAGCGGUGAAAUGCUUAGAUAUCACGAAGAACUCCGAUUGCGAAGGCAGCUUACUAACCUGUAACUGACAUUGAUGCUCGAAAGUGUGGGUAUCAAACAGGAUUAGAUACCCUGGUAGUCCACACGGUAAACGAUGAAUACUCGCUGUAGGCGAUAUACAGUCUGCGGCCAAGCGAAAGCAUUAAGUAUUCCACCUGGGGAGUACGCCGGCAACGGUGAAACUCAAAGGAAUUGACGGGGGCCCGCACAAGCGGAGGAACAUGUGGUUUAAUUCGAUGAUACGCGAGGAACCUUACCCGGGCUUAAAUUGUAACCGAAUAUGGCGGAAACGCUAUAGCUAGCAAUAGCGGUUGUGAAGGUGCUGCAUGGUUGUCGUCAGCUCGUGCCGUGAGGUGUCGGCUUAAGUGCCAUAACGAGCGCAACCCUUGCCGAUAGUUACUAACAGGUUAUGCUGAGGACUCUGUCGGGACUGCCAUCGUAAGAUGUGAGGAAGGUGGGGAUGACGUCAAAUCAGCACGGCCCUUACGUCCGGGGCUACACACGUGUUACAAUGGGGGGUACAGAGGGCUGCUACCACGCAAGUGGAUGCCAAUCCCAAAAACCUCUCUCAGUUCGGAUUGAAGUCUGCAACCCGACUUCAUGAAGCUGGAUUCGCUAGUAAUCGCGCAUCAGCCACGGCGCGGUGAAUACGUUCCC
This 1019-nucleotide ribosomal RNA is filed under the name uncultured bacterium. RNAcentral describes it as "bacterial SSU rRNA". It matches the Rfam family "Bacterial small subunit ribosomal RNA", at positions 355 to 1375 of the family's 1533-position model. RNAcentral also lists the same sequence under 1 other name. The record is from RNAcentral.